Molecule: ribosomal RNA, 460 nt
Filed under: uncultured bacterium
Lineage: Bacteria
Description: bacterial SSU rRNA
Rfam family: Bacterial small subunit ribosomal RNA
Source: RNAcentral
CCUACGGGGGGCUGCAGUGAGGAAUAUUGGACAAUGGGCGCAAGCCUGAUCCAGCCAUGCCGCGUGCAGGAUGACGGUCCUAUGGAUUGUAAACUGCUUUUGCACAGGAAGAAACAACUCUACGUGUAGAGUCUUGACGGUACUGUGAGAAUAAGGAUCGGCUAACUCCGUGCCAGCAGCCGCGGUAAUACGGAGGAUCCAAGCGUUAUCCGGAAUCAUUGGGUUUAAAGGGUCCGUAGGCGGUUUAAUAAGUCAGUGGUGAAAGCCCAUCGCUCAACGGUGGAACGGCCAUUGAUACUGUUAAACUUGAAUUAUUAGGAAGUAACUAGAAUAUGUAGUGUAGCGGUGAAAUGCUUAGAGAUUACAUGGAAUACCAAUUGCGAAGGCAGGUUACUACUAAUGGAUUGACGCUGAUGGACGAAAGCGUGGGUAGCGAACAGGAUUAGAUACCCAUGUAGUC